AGUGAACGCUGGCGGUAGGCCUAACACAUGCAAGUCGAACGGCAGCACAGUAAGAGCUUGCUCUUACGGGUGGCGAGUGGCGGACGGGUGAGGAAUACAUCGGAAUCUACUUUUUCGUGGGGGAUAACGUAGGGAAACUUACGCUAAUACCGCAUACGACCUACGGGUGAAAGCAGGGGAUCUUCGGACCUUGCGCGAUUGAAUGAGCCGAUGUCGGAUUAGCUAGUUGGCGGGGUAAAGGCCCACCAAGGCGACGAUCCGUAGCUGGUCUGAGAGGAUGAUCAGCCACACUGGAACUGAGACACGGUCCAGACUCCUACGGGAGGCAGCAGGGGGGAAUAUUGAACAAUGGGCGCAAGCCUGAUCCAGCCAUACCGCGUGGGUGAAGAAGGCCUUCGGGUUGUAAAGCCCUUUUGUUGGGAAAGAAAAGCAGCAGGUUAAUACCCCGCUGUUCUGACGGUACCCAAAGAAUAAGCACCGGCUAACUUCGU
RNAcentral lists this ribosomal RNA (491 nucleotides) under uncultured bacterium. RNAcentral describes it as "partial 16S ribosomal RNA". It matches the Rfam family "Bacterial small subunit ribosomal RNA", at positions 29 to 506 of the family's 1533-position model. The record is from RNAcentral.